CAAUACUUUGCCAAACCACAAAACCAAAGUGGCUAUGAUGGUUCCAGCAAAAGCAGUAGCUAUGGCAGUGGCAGAAGGUUUUAAUUACUGCCAGGAAACAAAGCUUAGCAGGAGGGGAGAGCCACAGAAGUGACAGGGAAGCUACAGGUUACAACAGAUUUGUGAACUCAGCCAAGCACAGUGGUGGCAGGGCCUAGCCGCUACAAAGAAGACAUUUAUUAGACAAUACUCGUGUGUAUGGACAAAAACUCGAGGAUUGUAUUUGUGACUAAUUGUUUAACAUAGGUGAUUUUAGUUUUUGUUCUGUGGAAAGUGUAAAGCAUUCCAACAAAGGGUUUUAAUGUAGAUUUUUUUUUGCACCCAUGCUGUUGAUUGCUAAAUGUAAUAGUCUGAUCACGACGCUGAAUAAAUGUGUCUUUUU
Molecule: long non-coding RNA, 421 nt
Filed under: Lynx pardinus (Iberian lynx)
Lineage: Eukaryota; Metazoa; Chordata; Mammalia; Carnivora; Felidae
Source: RNAcentral